This 254-nucleotide ribosomal RNA is filed under the name uncultured bacterium. Its description in RNAcentral is "partial 16S ribosomal RNA". It matches the Rfam family "Bacterial small subunit ribosomal RNA", at positions 524 to 776 of the family's 1533-position model. The record is from RNAcentral.
UACGGGGGGAGCAAGCGUUGUUCGGAUUUACUGGGCGUAAAGGGCGCGUAGGCGGCCUCUGCAAGUCGAUUGUGAAAUCUCCGGGCUUAACCCGGAAAGGUCAGCCGAUACUGCAGGGCUAGAGUGCAGAAGGGGCAACUGGAAUUCUCGGUGUAGCGGUGAAAUGCGUAGAUAUCGAGAGGAACACCUGCGGCGAAGGCGGGUUGCUGGGCUGACACUGACGCUGAGGCGCGAAAGCUAGGGGAGCGAACGGG